This 74-nucleotide transfer RNA is filed under the name Planctomycetes bacterium ADurb.Bin126. Its description in RNAcentral is "tRNA-His". It matches the Rfam family "tRNA". From Rfam's summary of the family: Transfer RNA (tRNA) molecules are approximately 80 nucleotides in length. Their secondary structure includes four short double-helical elements and three loops (D, anti-codon, and T loops). The record is from RNAcentral. Lineage: Bacteria; Pseudomonadati; Planctomycetota.
GUGGAUGUAGCUCAGUUGGCAGAGCAUCGGGUUGUGGUCUCGAGGGUCGCGGGUUCAAAUCCCGUCAUCCACCC